This 258-nucleotide ribosomal RNA is filed under the name uncultured soil bacterium. Its description in RNAcentral is "partial 16S ribosomal RNA". It matches the Rfam family "Bacterial small subunit ribosomal RNA", at positions 26 to 310 of the family's 1533-position model. The record is from RNAcentral.
AGAGCGAACGCUGGCGGCAGGCCUAACACAUGCAAGUCGAACGGACCCUUCGGGGUUAGUGGCGGACGGGUGAGUAACACGUGGGAACGUGCCUUUAGGUUCGGAAUAGCUCCUGGAAACGGGUGGUAAUGCCGAAUGUGCCCUUCGGGGGAAAGAUUUAUCGCCUUUAGAGCGGCCCGCGUCUGAUUAGCUUGUUGGUGAGGUAAUGGCUCACCAAGGCUACGAUCAGUAGCUGGUCUGAGAGGAUGACUCACGCCA